UACGUAGGGGGCAAGCGUUGUCCGGAAUCAUUGGGCGUAAAGCGCGUGUAGGCGGUUCAGUAAGUCUGCUGUGAAAGUCCAGGGCUCAACCCUCGAAAGCCGGCGGAUACUGUCGGACUAGAGUGCGGAAGAGGCGAGUGGAAUUCCUGGUGUAGCGGUGAAAUGCGCAGAUAUCAGGAGGAACACCAAUUGCGAAGGCAGCUCGCUGGGACGCUACUGACGCUGAGACGCGAAAGCGUGGGGAGCAAACAGG
This 253-nucleotide ribosomal RNA is filed under the name uncultured bacterium. RNAcentral describes it as "partial 16S ribosomal RNA". It matches the Rfam family "Bacterial small subunit ribosomal RNA", at positions 524 to 776 of the family's 1533-position model. The record is from RNAcentral.